GGGGGUGACCGGUUUCGACUUCGGCUGGUCGAGACAGGGGAAGCGGGCCGAGGGUUGCGGUCGUGACCUCGUAAAUCCCGUGACCGCGAACCAAUAACUGCCAACCAGAAGCAGUCCGAGUUCGCCCUCGCCGCCUGAGCGAGGAGCGACUCUGUCGGCCCGGGAGCGUCUCCGACCCGGGAUCCGGCAUCAUGAGGAGACUCCACCUGCGCGCCCGGUCGCGGGGUGCGUAGGGACAGCGCACAGCGACUGAGCCCGUCGGCGACUUGCCUGCGAGAGCGCCGGGGCCGAGAAACCGCCUAGCAGGCUGCGCCCGGAGAAGCCCUGGCUCAUCACCGAAGGACGCGGGUUCGAUUCCCGCCACCUCCAC
This is a transfer-messenger RNA of 370 nucleotides. It matches the Rfam family "transfer-messenger RNA". From Rfam's summary of the family: Bacterial tmRNA, also known as 10Sa RNA or SsrA, is named for its dual tRNA and mRNA-like properties. Its role is to liberate the mRNA from a stalled ribosome. To accomplish this part of the tmRNA is used as a reading frame that ends in a translation stop signal.